UGGGGAAUCUUGCGCAAUGGGCGAAAGCCUGACGCAGCCAUGCCGCGUGAAUGAUGAAGGUCUUAGGAUUGUAAAAUUCUUUCACCGGGGACGAUAAUGACGGUACCCGGAGAAGAAGCCCCGGCUAACUUCGUGCCAGCAGCCGCGGUAAUACGAAGGGGGCUAGCGUUGCUCGGAAUUACUGGGCGUAAAGGGAGCGUAGGCGGACUGUUUAGUCAGAGGUGAAAGCCCAGGGCUCAACCUUGGAAUUGCCCUUGAUACUGGCAGUCUUGAGUACGGAAGAGGUAUGUGGAACUCCGAGUGUAGAGGUGAAAUUCGUAGAUAUUCGGAAGAACACCAGUGGCGAAGGCGACAUACUGGUCCGUUACUGACGCUGAGGCUCGAAAGCGUGGGGAGCAAACAGGAUUAGAUACCCUGGUAGUCCACGCCGUAAACGAUGAGUGUUAGUUGUCGGCAUGCAUGCAUGUCGGUGACGCAGCUAACGCAUUAAGCACUCCGCCUGGGGAGUACGGUCGCAAGAUUA
This 523-nucleotide ribosomal RNA is filed under the name uncultured bacterium. RNAcentral describes it as "bacterial SSU rRNA". It matches the Rfam family "Bacterial small subunit ribosomal RNA", at positions 355 to 896 of the family's 1533-position model. The record is from RNAcentral.